Molecule: ribosomal RNA, 458 nt
Filed under: Gregarina polymorpha
Lineage: Eukaryota; Apicomplexa; Conoidasida; Eugregarinorida; Gregarinidae
Description: bacterial SSU rRNA
Rfam family: Eukaryotic small subunit ribosomal RNA
Source: RNAcentral
CGGACGAGACCUUGACCUACUUACUAGUUAGCACGUCUUCUUGUAAGAUUGUUACUUCUUAGAGGGACUUCAGAGGACACUCUGAGGAAGUUCUAGCUUAUAACAGGUCUGUGAUGCCCUUAGAUGGUCUGGGCUGCACGUGUGCUACAAUGGCUAAAACUGACAGUUGUCUCUUUGUCAGGAGAAACGGAUCGUUAAAUUUGGUCGUGUUUGGAAUUGAACCUUGAAAUUAUCAUUCAUGAACUAGGAAUUCCUAGUAAGUACAAGUCUUAAUCUUGUGCUGAUUGUGUCCCUGCCCUUUGUACACACCGCCCGUCGCUUCAACCGAUUGAAUGGUCCGGCGAAUUCCAGGGAGACUAAACAGUUAUUCUGUUCUUGAACUGGGGUAAAUCUUAUCAUUUAGAGGAUGAAGAAGUCGUAACACGGUAUCCGUAGGUGAACCUGCGGAAGGAUCAUUA